This 75-nucleotide transfer RNA is filed under the name Candidatus Roizmanbacteria bacterium. RNAcentral's name for it is "tRNA-Arg". It matches the Rfam family "tRNA". From Rfam's summary of the family: Transfer RNA (tRNA) molecules are approximately 80 nucleotides in length. Their secondary structure includes four short double-helical elements and three loops (D, anti-codon, and T loops). Further hydrogen bonds mediate the characteristic L-shaped molecular structure. tRNAs have two regions of fundamental functional importance: the anti-codon, which is responsible for specific mRNA codon recognition, and the 3' end, to which the tRNAs corresponding amino acid is attached (by aminoacyl-tRNA synthetases). tRNAs cope with the degeneracy of the genetic code in two manners: having more than one tRNA (with a specific anti-codon) for a particular amino acid; and 'wobble' base-pairing, i.e. permitting non-standard base-pairing at the 3rd anti-codon position. The record is from RNAcentral. Lineage: Bacteria; Candidatus Roizmaniibacteriota.
GUCCUCAUAGCUCAACGGAUAGAGCAUAGGUUUCCUAAACCUACGAUGGUGGUUCAAUUCCGCCUGGGGAUACAA